UACGAGUGCUUCGAGCGUUAUCCGGAAUCAUUGGGCGUAAAGAGUUCGUAGGCGGCGCGGAAAGUCGGGUGUGAAAGCCCUCGGCUCAACCGAGGAAUUGCGCCCUAAACUGCCGUGCUUGAGGAACCUAGAGGUGAGCAGAACAGAUGGUGGAGCGGUGAAAUGCGUUGAUAUCAUCUGGAAUACCGGAGGCGAAGGCGGCUCACUGGGGGUUUUCUGACGCUGAGGAACGAAAGCCAGGGGAGCGAACGGG
Molecule: ribosomal RNA, 253 nt
Filed under: uncultured bacterium
Lineage: Bacteria
Description: partial 16S ribosomal RNA
Rfam family: Bacterial small subunit ribosomal RNA
Source: RNAcentral